AUCCACAGCAAAGGUAAAAACAUGGAAGGAAGAUUCACUAAGGCCCUACUAAAUAAACAUUCUGCCUCUAACUAUGUUUCUGUUGCUGUCAUUCCCAAAAAGUCCAAGUGCUAAAAAAUUCCCUGUCACUUUUUUUUUAAAUUUUUUUAGAGACAGGGUCUCAUUCUGUUACCCAGGCUGGAGUGCAGUAGUGCAAUUAUAACUUACUAUAACCUCAAACUCCUGGGUUCAAGGGAUCCUCCAGCCUCAACCUUCUGAGUAGCUAGGACUAGAGGCACAUGCCUGGGCUUUUUAAAAAAAUUUUUGUAGGGAUGUGGUCUCCCUUUGUUGUUCAGGUUGUCUCAAAUGCUGGAGUUCAAGCAAUCCUCCUGCCUUGGGCUCCUAAAGUGUUGUAAUUACAGGUGUGAACCACUGUGACUGGCCCUUCCAUUACUUCUUAACUGCUUACCUGUUUCACUGUUUUCCUCUAACCUCUUACUGAUGAAAUUUAGUAAGAAACUAGGUUUCUCUCAAGAACUUUACUGUGCUUACAGGAAUCACCAACACACUCAACACAGGCAGUUUUUUUACUCUCACAGUAUAUUUAGUAUCUUUAAAUAGAUGAUUAAUCCAUACUAAAUUUUGUAGAUUUUUGCUUCUAUUGGAAGAAAAGAGAGUGUAUGAAUAGACUCCAACAAACUGUCUACUCAGUUUAAAUCCAGGGUCACUGAAUUCAUUUUUCGAUGCACUUUUAUCACUUACUCCUAAAUAUCCACAACUAUUUUCAGAUGAAUUCAGCAGUAGCCCCCAGAAACUAACCUUGUUGCCUUGUGAAUUAAAAUAUAAUCUAGUAACUCUUGCAUUGCCAGCUUGACGAAAGCAGACAAGUUGCUGAGGCCGCGUCCAUUCAAACAUUCGUACACUGCCGUCCUGAGCACCUGUAAGAUCUGAAACACAAGAGAAAAAGCAGGAAAUAAGAAAUUAAAGAGUUCCAAUAUUUUCUAUUCUAUAAAUCAACCUCCAAAUGAGGACACUUACAAUUAUUAGGUCAUAAAUACUUACAGUAUUGAUGGACUGGGUGUGAAGUCAUUCUCUUAACAUUAUGUAGAUUCCUUUUCAUAAGCUUUAAAAGAAAAUUUUAAAAAUUUUAUUUUGUGUAUGCAGAAAAGAUGAGGAAGGAUAUGCUUCAGGAUAAAUUCUGACAUUUAUUCUCUUACACCUUGCUUAUUACUGAGAUAAAGCCUGUUAUGGAUGUUCUGAACCACUACAUAGAACACUUGUCUGAAGAGGGUGAGGAAGCACAGUCACUUGCUGGUAUAGCCCUGGCCUGUGAGGUUACCAAGGAGCUUCAUCUCAUAAUAAAGGAACUCUUCUUCAAGUGCCCCUCCCUGAGGAUAUUCAGGAGCACCUCCAGAUGCUUCAGAGCAGAACAUAAGAAUGGGACCCCUCCAGCUACAGUGACAAGAAUGUUACUGACAUGCUUUCAAGCACUUAGAAGUAGACAUGAAUUCCCCUUUAACUUUGCUUUACCAUUUUGUAUCUGUUUAUUCAUCUGUAAAAUGAUAAUGGAGGGUAAUAAUAGCACCUACCACCUAGGAUUGUUGUGAGAAAAAGCAUGUAUCUGACACUAAGAAAGUCAUAUGAGGCCAGUGUGGUGGCUCAUGCCUGUAAUCCUAGCACCUUGGGAGGCUGAAGCGGGUAGAUCACUUGAGCCCAGGAGUUCGAGAACAGCCUGGGCAGCGUGGUGAAACCCCAUCCCUACAAAAAAUACAAAAAUUAGCCAGGCACGCUGGCAUGCACCUGUAGUCCCAGCUACUUGGGAGGUUGAGAUGGAAGGAUCAAUUGAGCCCAGGAGGUCAAGGCUGCAGUGAGCCGAAAUUGCACCACUGCACUCCAGCCUGCGCGACAGAGCCAGACCCUGUCACCAAAUAAAAAAGCCACAAUAAAUGUCAGCUGUCAUUAUCAUGGCCUAUCUACUGGUGUUUGUCCCUGAAAUUUAGGAUCAUUCCUAUGUCAAAGAGAUUCCAACUGAUUUUUCAGAGUCCAAAUCCAGAAAUGAUACCUAUAAGUAAAUAACAUACCACACUAGCUCCAGUGCUAGUCUGUCCAGUGCCCAGCCAUGGCAGAGAUGAAGGUGGAUGCACCUGACUUGCUGAAUAGGAUGUUGCACUGGGUUGAUAAAGAGUUGUAGUGGAACCACGAUAAUCAACAUCAUCUGAACUGUGAAAAACAUUCAUGUGUUACUGUGAACAUUCCCUUUUCUCUUAACACAAAUUCCAACUAAAAAUCUUCUUAUGUACCCAUAGGACAAUCUUUAUUUUAAAAACUAAGUAGCCAUGAGAAAAACUUAGGUACAAGUCCUAAUCGCCAAUGUUAAUACUGGUUAACUUUUUUCCCUUUUGGCAAAAUGUAAAUUUAGUCUAAUGUUGUUUGGGGACAACUUUAUUGCUGCACAAGUUGAAACAAAAGUUUGUUGUUAUCUAUGGAAAAAUAUUAUGUUCUCUUCAAGUACAGAUAGCUCAGUAUCAAAUUAACACGUUUAAAGAAAUUUGAGUUUAAAGAUUUCUUGGAGUAAGACAUAUAAAAUGUGAAAGUAAUUGUUGGGAUGGAUUGUAUCAUAGUACAUGGUUAUAUCUACUCUGAAAUGUGAUAUUAAAUCCUAGUUAUAUCACAUACUAACAAAAAAAAGAAUUCAACAAAAUGAGGAGAGAAACUAUCAUGGCACCAUCCUCAAGCAUGAACAAUUUCUAAGAGUCUGGAGAAAAGCAGGAGGGAAGGCAAACCACAAAGAAGAAACCUCAAAAUAGGUGACUGCCUUCCUUUCAUCACGAAGGGCCAUUCAAAUUUUCUGCCCAUGCCUCCAGGGACUCCCCUAUGGCUGCUGCAGCUGAUAAAGAUGCAUCCAAGAAAACUUCCAAGGAAUGGUCAAUGUGUGGCACAGCUAACUCAGUGAAGGCCAAACUGCUGAAGAAUCUAUUUGUCUUAACUAGCUGAAUUCACCAAUCUGUUUCCCAAAAACUUGUUUUGUGAAAUAUUUUCCUGUAAUAUCUUCAGUGAAUAAAA
This is a long non-coding RNA of Homo sapiens (human), 3042 nucleotides long. The record is from Ensembl. NCBI's taxonomy places the organism in Eukaryota, Metazoa, Chordata, Mammalia, Primates, Hominidae.